UUGAAGUAGACUCCAACUCAAAGAGUGUGAGCUCCUUGAAUUGCAUCAGUUUUAACAACGGAAAAUUAAAAAGACAAAAGCACCUGACAGAAGGUGGAAAAAUACCCUGAAGCUUCUGUGGUGUCUUCCUCGCUUGGAGAGCACUGGGAAGCCAAUAACAACAGUUUAUUAUGAAAUAUUUGUUGGAUAUGGAAAUUAGAUAGGGUAGAUAAAUGAGAGAUUUGAAAGAUUGAAAGCUCCCCCCUCCACCCAUUAUAUACUUUUCCUUUGAAGGAGAAACCAGGAAUGUAAAGACUGCUUUGGGAAUAUUUCAUGCUGUAAUUGCUGUCAUUCUAGAAGACUCUGUGGGGUGUUUGGGGCUAACUUAGAAGCUGAGCCUUUCAGACCAGAGAGAUCUAGUUAGUCUCAACUGGGGAAAUCAAGGUGUCCAUCAAGAUUCGCGGAAGAGGGCCUCAAGCUUUCUGAUCGUCUCAAUGUAAUACCACACACUCUGGCUAACACUCAUAGGCAUUGGUAGCCAAAAGGAAAACUUCACAGUGGACUCUGGACCAGCAGGCUGUGCUAGAGGUUUGAUCACCUCCAUCCAGUUCCUCCCCCAAGCAGAGCAUUGGUCAGCUCUGAGGAGUUAGAGCUCCCAAUUAUAUGAAGCAAAUGGGACAUGGACACGUGGCUCACCCUCAUCCUCCUCCAUGGAGCAAGCUGUUGAGUGGGACCAAGAGGAGUCAUCAAAGGAUCCAAAUGAAAGAUCUCCUUAAAUCCUCCUAGUAAAGAGAUACUGCAGAGAAGACAACUGAAGAUGAACAAUUAAUUAAUCAUCCAAAACAAAAUGAACAACUGAAUGAAAGCCAUUUCAUGGUGAAGGGUUCUGCAUGGCUUGAAAAUAAAAUAAUUUAUUCAAUAUGU
Molecule: long non-coding RNA, 903 nt
Organism: Canis lupus familiaris (dog)
Lineage: Eukaryota; Metazoa; Chordata; Mammalia; Carnivora; Canidae
Exons: 5
Source: RefSeq, a predicted model, not a curated record